GGCAACGUGGCAGAGUGGUUAACGCGAUUGACUAGAAAUCAAUUCCCUUCGGGGGCACAGGUUCGAAUCCUGUCGUUGUCG
RNAcentral lists this transfer RNA (81 nucleotides) under Xylaria cubensis. RNAcentral's name for it is "tRNA-Ser". It matches the Rfam family "tRNA". Rfam says of the family: Transfer RNA (tRNA) molecules are approximately 80 nucleotides in length. Their secondary structure includes four short double-helical elements and three loops (D, anti-codon, and T loops). RNAcentral also lists the same sequence under 1 other name. The record is from RNAcentral. Lineage: Eukaryota; Fungi; Ascomycota; Sordariomycetes; Xylariales; Xylariaceae.